GGUUGUUAGGGUAGCCAUCUGUUUGGUUAUUUUCGGUGGGGUUUACUCAUUUGUUUGUGAGAGCCUUUGGUAGAGGGAGAGAGGGAGAGAGGAAGGAUCUUUGAUUUGAUCUUUUUGCCAUCCUAAUUUUGAUUGUGCUUAGGAGUGGCUUGUAACCGAACAUGGUGAAGUAAUGCAAAGAUCAAUUUCGUUCCAUCUUGUUCCAUCCUCUUUGAAUAUGAAAUUUAUCUUUUUUGGUAUUUUUGGAGGUAUUUUUGGGAUUUUUCGUCUUUGCGAUUGGCAGCGAUUUGGGGUAUUUU
RNAcentral lists this long non-coding RNA (299 nucleotides) under Setaria viridis. Its description in RNAcentral is "long non-coding RNA (SVIR_LNC011032)". The record is from RNAcentral. Lineage: Eukaryota; Viridiplantae; Streptophyta; Magnoliopsida; Poales; Poaceae.